Molecule: small nuclear RNA, 107 nt
Organism: Rattus norvegicus (Norway rat)
Lineage: Eukaryota; Metazoa; Chordata; Mammalia; Rodentia; Muridae
Source: Ensembl
UUGCUCUCUUCUGAAGCACAUAUACUAACACUGGAACAAUACAGAGAAGAUUAACAUGGCCUCAGUGCAAGGAUGGCACACAAAUUUGUGAAGGGAUCCAUAUUUUU